UCCCUGGUGGUCAGGGGUUAGGACUCUGCGCUUCUACUGCAGGGGACAUGGGUUCAAUUCCUGUUUGGAGAA
RNAcentral lists this transfer RNA (72 nucleotides) under Bos taurus (domestic cattle). It matches the Rfam family "tRNA". Rfam says of the family: Transfer RNA (tRNA) molecules are approximately 80 nucleotides in length. Their secondary structure includes four short double-helical elements and three loops (D, anti-codon, and T loops). The record is from Rfam by way of RNAcentral. Lineage: Eukaryota; Metazoa; Chordata; Mammalia; Artiodactyla; Bovidae. RNAcentral also lists the same sequence under 5 other names.